Molecule: ribosomal RNA, 482 nt
Filed under: uncultured bacterium
Lineage: Bacteria
Description: partial 16S ribosomal RNA
Rfam family: Bacterial small subunit ribosomal RNA
Source: RNAcentral
GAUGAACGCUAGCGGCAGGCCUAAUACAUGCAAGUCGGACGGGAUUCCGGUGCUUGCUUCGGAUGAUAGUGGCGCACGGGUGCGUAACACGUAUGUAACCUACCUUUAUCAGGGUGAUAGCCUCUCGAAAGAGAGAUUAAGCUCGCAUAAAAUCACAGCACAGCCUUGUGUAAUGAUCAAAUAUUUAUAGGGUAAAGAUUGGCAUGCGGGACAUUGGCUAGAUGGCGGGGUAACUGGCCACCAUGGCGACGAUGUUUAGGGGAUCGGAGGGGAUGGCCCCUCAGACGGGUACUGGGACACGGACCAGACUCAUACGGGAGAGAGUCGUAAGGGAGAUUGGAGAGUGGGAGGAAGCCUGAUCCAGCCAUGCCGCAUGCAGGAAGGCCGCGCUCGGGAUGGUAACCUGCUUUUAGAAGAGAAUAAUCCCAGAUACGUGUAUCUGGCUGAAUGUACUGUAAGAAUAAGGAUCGGCUAACUCCGUG